UUGACCUCGGAUCAGGUAGGAUACCCGCUGAACUUAAGCAUAUCAAUAAGCGGAGGA
RNAcentral lists this ribosomal RNA (57 nucleotides) under Diplodia sp. DSPGR10(21). Its description in RNAcentral is "partial 28S ribosomal RNA". The record is from RNAcentral. Lineage: Eukaryota; Fungi; Ascomycota; Dothideomycetes; Botryosphaeriales; Botryosphaeriaceae.